RNAcentral lists this unclassified non-coding RNA (320 nucleotides) under plant metagenome. RNAcentral's name for it is "partial contains 5.8S ribosomal RNA, internal transcribed spacer 2, and large subunit ribosomal RNA". The stretch from base 1 to 105 matches the Rfam family "5.8S ribosomal RNA", at positions 50 to 154 of the family's 154-position model. The record is from RNAcentral.
GAAAUGCGAUAAGUAAUGUGAAUUGCAGAAUUCAGCGAAUCAUCGAAUCUUUGAACGUACAUUGCGCCUAUUAGUAUUCUAGUAGGCAUGCCUGUUCGAGCGUCAUUUCAACCCUCAAGCCCUGGUUGCUUGGUGUUGGGAGCUUGCUGUGAAACGCAACUCCUCAAAGCUAGCUGGCAGAGUCGGGAUGCACUCUAAGCGUAGUAAACUUGAUAGUCUCGCUUCUGCAGUUGUCCCGGCCGUCUUGCCAUAAAAGCCCAAACUUUUUUGUUUUCUAUGGUUGACCUCGGAUCAGGUAGGAAUACCCGCUGAACUUAAGC